This 482-nucleotide ribosomal RNA is filed under the name uncultured bacterium. RNAcentral describes it as "partial 16S ribosomal RNA". It matches the Rfam family "Bacterial small subunit ribosomal RNA", at positions 28 to 506 of the family's 1533-position model. The record is from RNAcentral.
GACGAACGCUGGCGGCGUGCUUAACACAUGCAAGUCGAACGAUGAAGCGGGUGCUUGCCCUCGUGGAUUAGUGGCGAACGGGCGAGUAACACGUGAGUAACCUGUCCUUUUCUUUGGGAUAACGGCUGGAAACGGCUGCUAAUACUGGAUAUUCAGGCUGCAUCGCAUGGUGUGGUUUGGAAAGGUUUUUUCUGGGAUUGGGUGGGCUCGCGGCCUAUCAGCUUGUUGGUGGGGUGAUGGCUUACCAAGGCUUUGACGGGUAGCCGGCCUGAGAGGGUGGUCGGUCGCACUGGGACUGAGAUACGGCCCAGACUCCUACGGGAGGCAGCAGUGGGGAAUAUUGCACAAUGGACGAAAGUUUGAGGCAGCGACGCCGCGUGGAGGGUGUAGGCCUUCGGGUUGUGAACUCCUUUUUCUCGCGAAAAAGGCACAGUUUUGGCUGUGUUGAUGGUAGUGGGGGAAGAAGCGCCGGCUAACUACGU